This 73-nucleotide transfer RNA is filed under the name Candidatus Rifleibacteriota bacterium. Its description in RNAcentral is "tRNA-Gly". It matches the Rfam family "tRNA". Rfam says of the family: Transfer RNA (tRNA) molecules are approximately 80 nucleotides in length. Their secondary structure includes four short double-helical elements and three loops (D, anti-codon, and T loops). Lineage: Bacteria; Candidatus Rifleibacteriota. The record is from RNAcentral.
GCGGGAAUAACUCAGUUGGCAGAGUGCUAGCUUCCCAAGCUGGAUGUCGCGGGUUCGACCCCCGUUUCCCGCU